UUCUCAACCAUUGAGCUGUUUCUUUAGUUAGCUCAGUGGUCCAUCCUGUUGCUGGGUCUCUCAUUCUCUGUCGUCAUCUGAUAUUAUGGUUGUAGUAUUGGAAGAGCUUGCUAUAUAUCACUUAAGAAAGGUCUACAUGAAGAAAGAAAUAUGUUUUUCUUACCUGUUUGACUCUACAUGGGAGCUACACCAUCACCACAACCUUUGCCAAUCGCACCUGCAAAUGAAAACACUGUCAGCGCUUCCAUGCCAGAUGUUUGACCAACUUAACCCAGCAGCUGUAGUAGCAUUGCUGAGCUUUAGAAGAUAGAGGAGCAGAAGAAGAAGGAAUGCCCAGCACCAACAGAACCAGAGCCUUGAGAAUCAGGGUGUUUGCAGCUGUGGAUGAACAUGUGGUGCCUGAAGAGAGGAACCAGGGUCUUCUGUGCUGCUGAGCAAACAAUCAAAGGAGAUUUUACUGAAGGCACUGCAACAACACACACACGAGUGAAAUGUAAUACCAGAAAUGUUUUGACAUGACUAGGAAUUCUGUCACCUACAUCUGUCAUGUCCUGCAUGCAGCCUUGAAGGCUAUGGCUGUGCUGUUGAAGAUCUCAGCACGUUUUCAGAGAGCUCCAAAAAAUUAGUUAAUUGCUUUUUCCUUUGAAAAAAAAGGUUUGUUCUGCUGAUUCCCUCAACUAAGUUAGAUCUCAGUUGACCUAGACCUUCAAUUUAUUUACCCAUCUUUGCUCUAUAUUGCUUAAUGGUGUUAUUCAAGAAUCUCUUUUGAUUUUGAAAAUUUCAAUUCAUUUAGCUUCCACAGGCUUCUGAAAAGAGAAUUCCAAUAUAGCUGACUGAGGUGGUUAAUAAAAUUAUGAUGAACUCCAAGUCCAUGUUGCUAUUAAAAAUGUGAAGAGAAAUUAUUAAAUAUCUUUCUAUGUAUCCCUACUUAUUGGAUGUACUGAUUAUAGAUCAUAUUUACUUGGUGCACAUGGUGAGAAUUUGGCAGAUGUAUUAUUAGAAAUAAAGAUGUAAGAGUUAGAUUUGUCACUGUUGGCAUGAAUUGAUGUUCUUUUUCAAAAAGCAACACAGGGACAGUGUCUAAAUGGCUUCCUUCUAUGUUGUAUGUUUCAAUAACUCUACAGAUAUCCCCAUAAUUUUAAAGUGACAUUUCAAAAGCAAACAAUCAGUAAUAAAAUUUUGUAAAGCCAAUGACCUAGUAUUCAACUAGUUGGAACCGUGACUUUUCUUAACAAUAAAACACUUUUGUCUCAACAUUCCACCGCUCCAAUCAAACUUAAUACAUUGCAGAAUACUCAGAAGAGAGUUAAGUCUA
Non-coding RNA from Chiloscyllium plagiosum (whitespotted bambooshark), 1315 nucleotides. The record is from RefSeq and is a predicted model, not a curated record. Lineage: Eukaryota; Metazoa; Chordata; Chondrichthyes; Orectolobiformes; Hemiscylliidae.